RNAcentral lists this ribosomal RNA (1375 nucleotides) under uncultured archaeon. Its description in RNAcentral is "bacterial SSU rRNA". It matches the Rfam family "Archaeal small subunit ribosomal RNA". The record is from RNAcentral.
CUGGUUGAUCCUGCCGGACCCGACCGCUAUCGGGGUGGGGCUUAGCCAUGCGAGUCAAGCGCCCCAGGGACCCGCUGGGGUGCGGCGCACGGCUCAGUAACACGUGGCCAACCUACCCUCGGGAGGGGGAUAACCCCGGGAAACUGGGGCUAAUCCCCCAUAGGGGAAGGGUGCUGGAAGGCCCCCUCCCCGAAAAGAGCCACGUCCGGCACCCGGCGUGGCUCGCCCGAGGAUGGGGCUACGGCCCAUCAUGGUAGCUGGCGGGGUAACGGCCCGCCAGGCCGAAGACGGGUGGGGGCCGUGAGAGCGGGAGCCCCGAGAUGGGCACUGAGACAAGGGCCCAGGCCCUAUGGGGUGCAGCAGGCUCGAAUACUCCGCAAUGCGGUAACCCGCGACGGGGCCACCCCGAGUGCCGCCCGAUGAGGGCGGCUUUUCCCCCGUGUAAGGAGCGGGGGGAAUAAGCGGGGGGCAAGUCUGGUGUCAGCCGCCGCGGUAAUACCAGCUCCGCGAGUGGUUGGGGCGUUUACUGGGCCUAAAGCGCCCGUAGCCGGCCCGGUAAGUCACCCCUGAAAUCCAUGGGCUCAACCCAUGGGCCGGGGGUGAUACUGCCGGGCUUGGGGGUGGGAGAGGCCGAGGGUACUCCCGAGGUAGGGGCGAAAUCCGAUAAUCUCGGGAGGACCACCAGUGGCGGAAGCGCUCGGCUGGAACACGCCCGACGGUGAGGGGCGAAAGCUGGGGGAGCAAAGGGGAUUAGAUACCCCUGUAGUCCCAGCUGUAAACGAUGCGGGCUAGCUGUUGGGUGGGCUUAGUGCCCGCCCAGUGGCGUAGGGAAGCCGUUAAGCCCGCCGCCUGGGGAGUACGGCCGCAAGGCUGAAACUUAAAGGAGUUGGCGGGGGGGCACCACAAGGGGUGAAGCUUGCGGCUUAAUUGGAGUCAACGCCGGAAACCUCACCCGGGGCGACAGCAGGAUGAAGGCCAGGCUAACGACCUUGCCGGACGAGCUGAGAGGAGGUGCAUGGCCGUCGCCAGCUCGUGCCGUGAGGUGUCCAGUUAAGUCUGGCAACGAGCGCGACCCCCGCUCCCUGUUGCUACCCUACCCUUCGGGGUGGGGGGCACACAGGGAGGACUGCCGGCGUAAGCCGGAGGAAGGAGGGGGCCACGGCAGGUCAGUAUGCCCCGAAACCCCGGGGCUGCACGCGAGCUGCAAUGGCGGGGACAGCGGGUUCCGACCCCGAAAGGGGGAGGCAAUCCCGUAAACCCCGCCCCAGUAGGAAUCGAGGGCUGUAACUCGCCCUCGUGAACGUGGAAUCCCUAGUAACCGCGUGUCACCAACGCGCGGUGAAUACGUCCCUGCCCCUUGCACACACCGCCCGUC